ACAGUCCGCUCGUCUGUAUGGGGCCUAAGUGUAAUUUCUGUCUGUCUGCUGCUUUGUUCCUUUGCUAACAGCAUGAAUCGCUUCAGACAAGUUUUUCUGACACCAAGAGAAAAAUGGUGACAGGAGAGAUCUCCAGCUGAUCGACAGCCUCAGCUCCUGUGUGGAGGGGUUGCUUCCCUUCCCUCCAGUCGGCUGUCAGAACUCUCCUCACUGAGCUCUGGAGAGUGUAGUUUCAGCUCUCUGCCCCCUUUUUUCUGACUGCUCACACAAGCUUUGUAAAUUCUAGACUUUAAACAGAUGUAGAGAUCAGGAGACUGCAGAUAAACGGGUACAACCUAUGUAGGCGGGUUUGUUUCAUGUCUGUGUAUUACCUGAGGCUAAUCACUUGACUGGGUAUAUGGGAGGGUUAACAACCACUUUAACGGUCUAAUGAAAUGGCACGGAGAACACACUGCAGGUCCAUAAAAUGUAUUACUGCUAUAGAAUGGAGGAUACCAGUUUUAUUUUAUGUCUGACCUCUUUAGCCCUGACUAAUACAAGUACAGCAGGCUAUUGUACACGGCUUUCUACUUUAUGUAUUGCCACUUGAUGCUUCUUUUUCUUCAGAUUUGUAUCUUCUACUUUCCUUCUAGUGCAGUAUAGAUGGCUGUGUCUCUAGCCGGGAGCUCCAUGAACAAUGCUUGGCCUGGUUGGUGAGUGAGCCAGUGUUUUGUGUAUAGCUGGAGAGAGAUCUUAUAUUCUGUGCCAAGCUUUUCCAGAAUGCAACCAAACCUCUGUCCUUUCCAAGAGCCCUUUUCUCUGUUACACUUGUAUAUGCAAAAGAAUACUUGAAAAUAAAUAUUUAAUGUAAAUACAA
Molecule: long non-coding RNA, 856 nt
Organism: Rana temporaria (common frog)
Lineage: Eukaryota; Metazoa; Chordata; Amphibia; Anura; Ranidae
Exons: 2
Source: RefSeq, a predicted model, not a curated record